Molecule: long non-coding RNA, 668 nt
Organism: Malaclemys terrapin pileata
Lineage: Eukaryota; Metazoa; Chordata; Testudines; Emydidae
Exons: 3
Source: RefSeq, a predicted model, not a curated record
AGCUAUUGGGAUGUAGAGGGUUACUGAUCAAAAGUCCAUAAACUUAUGUGUAUAUAUAAUAUCUGAGCAAAAAUCAAUCCUGACAUGUCAUCUAGUUUUGCCUUCCAGUUUACGCUGUGUGCACUUAUUAUUCUCCAAGGGCACAGUGAUGUGACAACUAUAAAUGGGACCCUGGGUAGUGUUGUUACAUUUCACCUCGGUUAUCCUGACUUCGAACACCCUGCUGAGAUCAUCUGGAAGAAGGGAAAUACUUUGUUAUAUAACAGGACAUAUCCUAUGAAUAGGUUUACUGUCUUUUCUAAUGGAACCUCAGCACUUAAGAAUACAGGGAAAGAUGAUGGAGGACAAUACACAGUGAGUGUGUAUAAUAUAACUGGAAACCUUGUCUACCAAAGAAAUUUUCAACUAUACAUACAUGAGCCAACCCAAAUCCCAGCUCAUGUCUCCGGCCAAAUUAAUGAGGGAGGAGAAUUACCUUGCGAGAGGGCUAACCAUUCCAGUCUCCGCUUUCGUUGGACGCUGAAUGGACAAUCUGUGGAACUGACUGAGACUGAGGAUGAUGGCAAGGGGAUUAUUUUGGCGAAAGAGGUGACUGGAAAGCUUGACUGUCAGAUUCACCAUAAAAACAGCAUCAAUGAGUGUUCCGUCAUAGAACUGGACUGUAAGAA